Molecule: ribosomal RNA, 393 nt
Filed under: uncultured bacterium
Lineage: Bacteria
Description: partial 16S ribosomal RNA
Rfam family: Bacterial small subunit ribosomal RNA
Source: RNAcentral
AUACGGAGGAUGCAAGCGUUAUCCGGAUUUAUUGGGUUUAAAGGGUGCGUAGGCGGAUGAUUAAGCGUGAGGUGAAAUGCCACUGCUCAACAGUGGAACUGCCUCGCGAACUGGUUGUCUUGAAUGCUCCUGCCGUGGGAGGAAUGUGUGGUGUAGCGGUGAAUGCAUAGAGAUCACACAGAACACCGAUUGCGAAGGCAUCUCACGAAGGGGUGAUUGACGCUGAGGCACGAAAGCGUGGGGAUCAAACAGGAUUAGAUACCCUGGUAGUCCACGCAGUAAACGAUGAUAACUAACCGCUGGGUCGUAGUGAUUCAGUGGCCAAGCGAAAGCGAUAAGUUAUCCAGCUGGGGAGUACGACCGCAAGGUUGAAACUCAAAUGAAUUGACGGGG